RNAcentral lists this ribosomal RNA (254 nucleotides) under uncultured bacterium. Its description in RNAcentral is "partial 16S ribosomal RNA". It matches the Rfam family "Bacterial small subunit ribosomal RNA", at positions 524 to 776 of the family's 1533-position model. The record is from RNAcentral.
UACGUAGGGAGCAAGCGUUGUUCGGAUUUACUGGGCGUAAAGGGCGCGUAGGCGGUCAGCACAAGUCAGUUGUGAAAUCUCCGGGCUUAACUCGGAAAGGUCAACUGAUACUGUGCGACUAGAGUGCAGAAGGGGCAACUGGAAUUCUCGGUGUAGCGGUGAAAUGCGUAGAUAUCGAGAGGAACACCUGCGGCGAAGGCGGGUUGCUGGGCUGACACUGACGCUGAGGCGCGAAAGCCAGGGGAGCGAACGGG